CAAUUUAGAAGUUAAACUAAUUUUUAUUUUCUAAUAAUAAUGUUUGUUUUUUUUUUGUUUUUUUGUUUUAAUUUUAAAACCUUGGAAAAUUUCUGGCAACGGAAAAAGUGCCUUUUCCAAAAUGCUAAAGAAAAUUAAACUAAAUAUUCUUAAUAGCUAUAAGUAAUUUUCUAUAAAUUUUAAGGAUUUAUCACACCACAGUUUUCAAUUGGGAAAGCUCAUUGGGAUUUUAUUAUUUAAAACUGUAGUGUAAUAAGUUUUUAAAAUUUAUAGCAAAUUAUAUAUAGCUAUUAAGAAGAUUUAUUACAAUACAGGACAAAAAAAGAAAAUAAUUAUAAAAUCAAACUAGUUUAACUCCUGAAUUUAAUAUCAGUUACUAGAAAGUAAACAAAGAUUCAAAUUUUUAAUUUUCCAAUUGACAAUGUAUUAAUUUUUAGUGAUCAGUCAGUGAUCACAAAGUUCUAAACUAAUUAGAUGAAUAUUCUGAUGAUGAAUUCAGUGGAUGAUGGAUUAGAUGUAUUGUACAUCUAAAACAAUACAGCUUUCAUAAAGCACAGAUAAAGAAAUCUUAAUUCACUCUGUGACAUUAUGAAAGAAAAUGAUUCUUAUUUCUGCUUUACAAUGGUCUAAAAGCUACUUUUAAACGUUGUGUCUAUAACUUUCAAUUGUUGACACAGUAAUACCCAGAAGAACAUAGAAAAAAUUAAAAUUUGUACAGAGAAGAGAGGAGAGCAUAUAGAAACAGCACAUGUGAAUUUUUCAAGCAUUCUGUACAAAUGUGUAUGUAUGUGUAAUUGUUAAUAAAUGAAAAAAUUUGAGUAUAGACUUUCUGUAACUCAUGUUGAACACAUUUCAGAAAUAAUUUUGUUUUAUUUCAUUAAAAUUGAAUAAAUCUAAUAUUACAUUUACAGAAACUUUUAUGAAAUGAUGAUGAAGAAAUUAUGUUCCUUCAACAUACAAUAGAUGACUUAAGAAUCAAUCGGAGUUUUGAUGUAGUAUUUGUCAAGAAUGUACAUACUGAACAUACACUGUCAAGAAGAAUUUAAAGUUUACAAAUAUUAGUGAUAUAUAAAAAUAAUCUUGUAAACCUGAAAUUCCCCAACAGAAAUAAAAAGAUAAGUUAUAGUGUUAAAAUUUUAUAUUACUGUAUUUAUAAUCUAAAAUGUAUCUAAGAUUAUGAAAACACUAUAUACAAGUAUCUAUUAAAUUUAAAAAGUUUAAUAGUAAAGUAUGAAAGUUAAAUAUAUUGAAAGCACAUUUGAAGGUCACUUAUUAUUAAUGCGUGUAGUGGAAGAAUAUUGUUGGAUAAGAUAUUAGUUUUAAAUGUUUUUCCAAUUUAAUAUAGAACUUUUAAAGAUGAAAUUAAAUAGUUUAUAAAUAUUUUUGAACUUGAUAAAUUUUGACUUUUCAACAAAAACUGUCUUUGAAAUGAUAUAUAUUGAAUGAAUUGGUAAAUUUAAAAAGUGAAAUAUUUGUGAUUUUUUUUUAAGUUGAUAAUAAAUUUAAUUUAAAAUUUUUUCUUAUUUGUUAAAAGUUUAUUAACUUGACAUUAAAGUAACCAACCAACUUUAAAAGUUGCAUUAUAUUUUUUGUUAAAUGUGAAAUAGAUCUUUAUUUUUAAUAGUGCUUGAUCAAUAUAGAAAUUAUCUGAUAUAUGAUAUCCAAUUAAGAUGCCAUAUUUUAAAAAAUCCUUAGGUUUUUAAUACACAACUAAUAACAUAUAAAAAUAAAGAUAGUAAAGUAUACAUUUGUUUAAAAUCACAGAAAUCCAAAUUCCUUAAUCCUGAUGUAAUACUAUGAUUAAUUAAUAAAAAUAAAGUAGAAAUUUAUUAAAGUUGAACCAGAUAGGAUUCCCCCCCCACUAAUUAAUGCCAUGGGAUGAGCUAUUUUAGCAUGGUGCACUUCUUUAAACAGCAAUGAUUUGCACAUAUUUUUUCAUAGAUAUAUGUUUAUGAAAUGACAGUAAAACUUUUAACUAUUUAUAAACUCAGAAAAAAUUUUAAAUACUAUUUAUAUGUAAAUCUUCCAUGUGGGAUGAAUAAGUGAAAUUUUGUUUUAUUUCAUCUUGACAAGAAAUUCCAACAAUUAAAUAUU
RNAcentral lists this unclassified non-coding RNA (2094 nucleotides) under Centruroides sculpturatus (bark scorpion). Its description in RNAcentral is "sex determination protein fruitless-like, transcript variant X3". The record is from RNAcentral. Lineage: Eukaryota; Metazoa; Arthropoda; Arachnida; Scorpiones; Buthidae.